Molecule: long non-coding RNA, 432 nt
Organism: Cottoperca gobio
Lineage: Eukaryota; Metazoa; Chordata; Actinopteri; Perciformes; Bovichtidae
Exons: 3
Source: RefSeq, a predicted model, not a curated record
GGAGAUCACAAGAGACAAGGGAUCAAUACUGAGGCAUGGCCAGGGGCUGUGAAAAGUUGAGCUAGCAGAUUUUGGCUUGUUAGACAUUGCCAUUUUGAUGACCUGCACAGACAGAUUAAGGUGAAAUCAACGUCUGUCCAGCUGGUGAUUCAUCAGAUCCGCCUCUGACGGAGGGCCGCAGAGACUUUAAGGUGAAGAGGAGCUACUUCACUUCUGCAUCUGCAACGAAAAACACGGUACGGAACACGGCGCUCCUUUUGGACAGGAGGAUUAUUUUCCUGGUGUGAUGAUGGAUAUCAGGAUGGGGUGUUGAAGUGAGGACCGUGUGAGGCUGGUAGCUGUGGCGGCUCCUCCAGUAGGCCACACACAGCUGCUUCAUCAGCCAGUGGGAGUGAUGGUCACGGAGAUUCAGCUCUGUGAAAACAUGAACUG